AACGCACAUUGCGCCCUUUGGCAUUCCGAAGGGCAUACCUGUUCGAGCGUCAUUUCAACCCUCAAGCCUGGCUUGGUGUUGGGCGUUUUGUCCCGCCGUGUGCGCGGACUCGCCUUAAAAGAAUCGGCGUCUGCAUGUAGGCCUAAUGCGUAGUAAAAUUCGCAGACUAGGCUGGCGUGCUGGCGGCCGGAACGCAUACAUUUUUUUUGUUUGACCUCGGAUCAGGUAGGGAUACCCGCUGAACUUAA
RNAcentral lists this unclassified non-coding RNA (248 nucleotides) under uncultured Pleosporales. Its description in RNAcentral is "sequence contains ITS2". The record is from RNAcentral. Lineage: Eukaryota; Fungi; Ascomycota; Dothideomycetes; Pleosporales.